Molecule: small nuclear RNA, 107 nt
Filed under: Sorex araneus (European shrew)
Lineage: Eukaryota; Metazoa; Chordata; Mammalia; Eulipotyphla; Soricidae
Source: RNAcentral
AUGCUUCCCUUAGGAGCACAGAUACUAAAAUUGGAAUAAUACAGAGAUGUGGAUGGCCCCUGGGUAAAAAUUCAACAUGCCAAAUUCAUGAAACAUUUCAUACUUGU